RNAcentral lists this ribosomal RNA (154 nucleotides) under uncultured bacterium. Its description in RNAcentral is "partial 16S rRNA". It matches the Rfam family "Bacterial small subunit ribosomal RNA", at positions 357 to 501 of the family's 1533-position model. The record is from RNAcentral.
GGGCAAUUUGGACAUGGGCGAAAGCCUGAUCCAGCCAUGCCGCGUGUGUGAUGAAGGUCUUCGGGUUGUAAAGCACUUUAAGGUUGGGAGGAAGGGUUGUCUACUAAUACCGUUGCUGUCCUUGACGUCUACCGACAGAAUAGCACCGGCUCAC